RNAcentral lists this ribosomal RNA (497 nucleotides) under uncultured bacterium. Its description in RNAcentral is "partial 16S ribosomal RNA". It matches the Rfam family "Bacterial small subunit ribosomal RNA", at positions 28 to 507 of the family's 1533-position model. The record is from RNAcentral.
GAUGGACGCUGGCGGCGUGCCUAAUACAUGCAAGUCGAGCGAACAGACGAGGAGCUUGCUCCUCUGACGUUAGCGGCGGACGGGUGAGUAACACGUGGAUAACCUACCUAUAAGACUGGGAUAACUUCGGGAAACCGGAGCUAAUACCGGAUAAUAUAUUGAACUGCAUGGUUCAAUAGUGAAAGACGGUUUUGCUGUCACUUAUAGAUGGAUCCGCGCCGCAUUAGCUAGUUGGUAAGGUAACGGCUUACCAAGGCAACGAUGCGUAGCCGACCUGAGAGGGUGAUCGGCCACACUGGAACUGAGACACGGUCCAGACUCCUACGGGAGGCAGCAGUAGGGAAUCUUCCGCAAUGGGCGAAAGCCUGACGGAGCAACGCCGCGUGAGUGAUGAAGGUCUUCGGAUCGUAAAACUCUGUUAUUAGGGAAGAACAAAUGUGUAAGUAACUAUGCACGUCUUGACGGUACCUAAUCAGAAAGCCACGGCUAACUACGUG